UUGGACUGAAGGGAGCUCUA
RNAcentral lists this microRNA (20 nucleotides) under Ananas comosus (pineapple). Its description in RNAcentral is "microRNA 159g". The record is from RNAcentral. Lineage: Eukaryota; Viridiplantae; Streptophyta; Magnoliopsida; Poales; Bromeliaceae.